Bombus impatiens (common eastern bumble bee) is the source of this 5271-nucleotide long non-coding RNA. RefSeq lists it as uncharacterized. The record is from RefSeq and is a predicted model, not a curated record. NCBI's taxonomy places the organism in Eukaryota, Metazoa, Arthropoda, Insecta, Hymenoptera, Apidae. The transcript is spliced from 5 exons.
AUAUGAAUACGAUUGGAUUUUGUAAUUUAAGUGGAAAGGAGGACAGAUAUUUCGAAAGCAAGCGUAAACAGUUUGGUAGGGAGAGGGUGGAAGCUUAUGGACGGACCAUUAGGGAUUCUGUGUCGAUAGAAACAAGUUUGCGGUGUAUUUGUUCAUUAGAUUAACCCUAACGAUUGUGAGUCGUAGUGAUUUCCUCCUUCUGGAUAGGUUAGCAGAGGAUUUUGCUCGGUUGCCGCCCUGAGGGGCUGAUCCCAACUUACCGAUGGAGAUCCUAACCGGAAAACAAGAAUAUUUCAGGAUUGAAAGACGUGGCAGCGUGGUGGGAUGUCGUGAGACGAGUAAAGAAUAUUUUAUCGAACCGUUGAAACAGAUAUACGACAGAUCAAAAAUUUGACAUCACUUUAUACCAUCUACGUAUUGUUAUCUGGUCUAUGAUUCUUUCUUUUAGUCCUGUAAAAACGUGGCAUAACAAAAAUGAAAAGAAAAUCUCAGGAAUAUGGAAAUAAUCGAAUUAGCAGACGGAAUAACCUCAAAAUAAAUAUUAAAAUGCUGGAACGCGAGAAAUUGCCGACGGAUGGUAAGGUUCCGGCGGGAACAAUAGGAGUUUGGAAAUCUUUCGAAUUUUAAAGAACUUGCUCGACACUGUUAAGAAUUUGUACAAGAAGCGAAGUGAAAGUUAGAAAAGUACGAUAACAAGAUUAGAAAAAAGAACAAGCUGCCUGGAACUAAGUUCGUUUACGUAGGAAAGCGACGAGAAGGGAUCAUGCGCAACGAUCGGAAACGCGUCUCUCAGAUUUCAAAUUCACCACUUCCCAUUCGUCUAUAACAUCUCGUCACGCGGACGUUGAAAGUGAAAGAUGUGACGCCCGAUCAGACCAAAGGAUUCGCUUUUCAUACCGGAGGAUGCUGAAGCUCGUGAAAGAUUCACGGCACGUCCAAGAUUCUCUCGAUGCGUCACAUUAAGCGAGUUAUAAGGAUAUAUCCGAAGCGGUGCUAUCAAUAUCACGACGGCAGGAAGUCAGGAGAAGUCACUGUUACGCCUGAUCACUUCCGCUUUGACGAUAAAUCAGAAAACGCGCAAUUUUCACGUUCCAUUGAAUAAUACAAAUGAAAUGGAGAGAUAGAUUUGUUAUGCAGAGAAGCAAUAUUUCAUCUAGAAAUUGCGAAAGUAGCGGAAUUUCUAUAUUUAAUCGACGAUCAAUAAAAAAUUAGGACAUGCAACUUUUUAAUUUCAAGCUUCGAAAGAUCAUUAGACAUUCUUUGUUAAUCUUACUAAAUGAAAUUGGCAAAUAGAAUUACCGCGAGACGAAGCAAAAUUUUACCUGGCGUGUUACAAAGUAGCGAAAUGUAUUAUCCAAUCAACUUGAAAGUUUAUUUAAUAACUGAACGUUCAAUUUUAGUUCUAAGCUUUGAGAGAUCAUUGGACUCUAGGAUCACUGACUUUGUCUUUAUCCUUCUUAAACAAACGACGAAUAGAAUUGUGGCAGAGCAAAAUUGUAUUCAGAACCUCAAACUAGAAUCUCAAAUUUUAGAAAUAUCAUUCUCGAUAAUAGAUCUUACAAAAUAGAUUAAUAUAAUUGAUCUACAAAUAUUCAUACAAUAACGAUAUUUAUCUAUGCUUGAAUAGGAAACAAUUUCUCUUAUCGUGACUCCUUUAUUGAUCUUCCUUUAUUAAUUUAUUAAUAUAAAACUAAUUCCAAUUUUGCUCGUCUAAAGAUUAAGUAAUAAAGCCGGAGCGGUUAAGGAUUCGUUAAGGGUACUAAAUCAGACGUUCGAUAAUAGAAUUGCAGUUGAUGGUGAUUGCUACACUCUCAGCCGUCAGAAAUUACCUUCUUCAAUUAACCAAAUAAGUUCGGGACGGAAACGCAUGGCUCUGCAGAGACAAAAUCUUGAUUAAGAGAUGCAUCGGACAGGCCGAUGCCAUCCGGCUUGAUGAAUAAAUCGCUAUAGACAGAUCUCAUUAACUGUGUAUCCACUUUCGUGUCUGACCACAACCGUCACGGUUCGCUGUCACUGCUGUGUUUCACUACUUAAGUCAAGCGAAACAGUAUUUUCGACUCUAGUCAUAGUAACUUAGAUAUGAGGAGUACUGUAAGAUCGAUUAAGUAAUGCAAUUAAUAGUUGAUUCACGUAUGAGAACAGUAGAAUCCCAGAAAUCUUGGUCAGGAUCUCGGCUGUAAUUGUUCUUCAAUUCCUACUGUCUCUGUGAGAUUUUUUAUUAUUGGAAUUUUCUUUUUUAUAAUCGUUUCAUUCAAUUAUCGAGUUUUCCUUCUAUUGUCUUUGUAAGUUCUUUUUUGUUAAAGCUUGUGCGUCCUGGUUUUUUCCUAUUAUUACAAGCGUCUUCUUAAAGUUCCUGUACUUUCUUAUCGUUGGAAUUUCUUUCCAGUAUCUUGCACUGCUAUUUUUCAUCCCAGCAAUUCUCUUUUAUCUUUCCUUUUGACUUUCAAGUUCUCUUUUACACGGAGUGGAAUCCGUUUCUUGUUCUCCCCAAACUGCUUUUUUCACUGCUGGAGUUUUCUUCUUGAUUGUUUCUUGAUAACCUUGCACGUUUCCUUUUAAAUUAUUACAAUCUCUCUUGAUGCUCUUUACUAGUUCAUUUUUUUAAUUAGAAUCUCUUUUUUGAUGUCCUUACCACCUUAUCCGUUUCUCAAAUAUUCUGACAUCUAACACAGAAGAAAUAAUAACACUUACCAAUUCCUAAUUGCAAAUAGCUGCUAUGGGAGCGUCAUACCAAAAAUCCUCACUCUAACUCAAGAAAACUUCCUCAGAAUACCUCUCGACCAAUUAAUUCUUCUUCCAAAUACUCUGACCUGUCCUCGCAGCAAGAAAUAAGGAAGAAAACUUCACUCUGUAAUUCGAACAAAAAUAAAAGAUCCCAUGCUACCCACAUAUAUUCGCAUUAACUAAAUUCCUCUAGUACCUCCUUGACGGUUCUCCAACUGGCAACUAAAUACCAGUCCCUGUAUUCCGCACUCAGACCAUUCUUAACACCAAUUACCCAGCUUAAUCUGAACUAUCAGCGCGAUAACGCGCAGGCCAGCGUCGAAGGAGUUCCGUGGAAAACGGCGAAUACCGUCGUGCACCGGUGUGUUUGCAACAGUCGACGUCGUUCUCCGUAGAUGAUACCCAGCAGGACAGUUUUUAAUCACCAUGUCACAAUUGCUUCAACUUCAAGAAGACCAACCGAUCUCCAUAUUCCGCCAAACCAUACAAGUUUCAAGCGAUAGAAAAUGAUUCCACCAUGGAAUUAAUCGAGCUGGCUAGAUCGUUCCACUUUGUUCAAUUGAAUGUAGACCCUCAGGAGCUGGUAAGAGCAACGGUUGUUGGUCCAGCAGAGCAACACCAGCCUGUUCACCCUCUGGUAGCUUCUAUUCUGUGCUACAUCCCAUUGAUGACACCAUGGACAGGGGUGGCAGAAUGUCGCGUGGCGACACGUUUCACUGUUCUGAGUCACAUGUCAUUCCGUAUGAAUUACAACUCCAUUAACGUUCCAGACAACCUGCGAGCAUACAUAAUGCUGGCGAAUUGAGCGGAUCAGCUCCUCGGCCAAGAUGUUGAUUUAUGGGGAAUGAUGGAGGUGCCCUGGUCCUUGGACGAACGGAGCCAAUCAUAAAGUGAUUGAAUUUUUAAUCUGUUACUUGGAGAUCUUGUUUUGCGUUCCAUUUUAAGGUAACUUGUUUUUAAGAGAACUGCAGAUCCUUUUCUUCUUUUUGUUUUUAGCUCUAUUCAUUUUUCAUCUUUUCCUCUUCUUCAUCAUGUUUCUCCUUCUUUUAAAUUUUAAUGAAAUCCAUUGUGCGUUGUUUCACGGUUAUCCCUCUGUUCAUCCUCUCCUUUCGCUUCUUUCAGAGUCUGAACGACAGUUUCAGUUUCAUACAAUACAAUACAAUAUAAUUUUCUUGUCUUUUUUUUCUCGCGUCGUGCGACACUGUUAAUUCACAAUUAAUCAAACGAUGGACGUUGCAAAGAGUACAAAAUACCAAGUUGCUCAAACGAUCUACAAAGAACGAAGAAAAUGUCUCAAAGUUAAUUUGACGAUCGUACGUAAUUGCAUGUGAAUAUUGGUAAAGUAUCUUACAAUAAAAUAAACGAGAAUCUGUGAUGUAAAUCGAUAAAGUUUCCAGAUGUCUUAAGGGUGGACCUUAGGCUAAGGAAUUAGGGAAGAUUCGAAGCGACUACCCUACGUCAGGGAAAACCUCUCUAGAAAUGGCGGUCGGCCCGUGAUGCCGCAAACUAAUAGAAAAUUGAUAGUAACUUCGUGCUUGAUUAUCAUGCGUGCGUAGUACGUUCACGUUUACGGUUUCCAGAUGAGCUAAGCAGAACGUUCGGUUACAGCUAAACAAUUCUAAUUCCUUGUGCCAUUGAUUUCUCAAAUUCUCUAUGUAAUUAAUAGGAAUGCGAAAAUAAUUUAUUAUUCUUCAAUAACGUAAUUUCAUAAAGCGAUGAAAUUAUAUAUAAAAGUAUGGAAAUUAGAAAAAGUUAAAACAAAAUUAGAAAUUUGAUUAAUGGAAAAAUUCAUUGCCUUGAUUCCAUUACGAUUGAAAAAUAGUACAAUGACAGAAUUAGAAAUUCUAUUUCCACGAUAAAUAGAUUACACUGCCUUCAUUGUUAAUAAUAGAAUAAUUAAUUUUUCGUUAUUGUUAUCAGCGAACUAAUAGAAUAGAAAUUAUAGGAUUAUCAAAUUGGGAAUUCUACUUUCAUAAUGGAUAGCUGAACAUAUUCUAAGCUGCUUAUUAAUAAUAGAAUAAUUCAUGUUUUUAGUUAUUAAUACUAUCGUUAGAGGAUCAAUUAUUAAUACUAUAGUUAGAGGACUCAUGACAUUUACGUCACAAACAACUGUCGCGGAUGAUAUCGUAAUCCGAAACACCUAAGCUCGUUUGUUUCCAAUAUAUUUUUGCACCGUUGCCAUCGACGAGAUUACAUUUUCCCUGAUAAUGUAAUUUCUGAACAUGUUUUCAGAAUAUGUUUCUGGGACAUCGGUGAUUAGUGUUAGCAGCAAUAAAGUUCCUAGCUAACUGAAUUUACCGGCUGGUAAUAAGUGUCAAAAGUGAACAGCCUGUUUCGCAAUUAGGCAAAAUACAGAUUUUAUGACAUUAAACUUGUUGGCGCAACUGCAAUUUUCGCUCUUAAAAUAUUACACUAGCCACGGUACAUCGUGGCUUUCAGAAUUACACAUCAAUCAAAUACAGAACAGAGGACAAUAAGAGGAACAUUUAUUAAAUCAAUAAAUGAUUCCUUGAUAGUGCAACUUUGAAAAAGUUGCAUUUAAUACUU